GAUGAAGAACGUAGCGAAAUGCGAUAAGUAAUGUGAAUUGCAGAAUUCAGUGAAUCAUCGAAUCUUUGAACGCACAUUGCGCCCAUUAGCAUUCUAGUGGGCAUGCCUGUUCGAGCGUCAUUUCAACCCUUAAGCCCUGUUGCUUAGCGUUGGGAGCCUACAGUACUGUAGCUCCCCAAAGUUAGUGGCGGAGUCGGUUUCACACUCUAGACGUAGUAAUUUUUUCUCGUCUGUAGUUGAGCCGGUCCCCUGCCGUAAAACACCCAAUUUAUCAAGGUUGACCUCGGAUCAGGUAGGAAUACCCGCUGAACUUAAGCAUAUCAAUAACGGAGGA
This 334-nucleotide unclassified non-coding RNA is filed under the name soil metagenome. Its description in RNAcentral is "partial contains 5.8S ribosomal RNA, internal transcribed spacer 2, and large subunit ribosomal RNA". The stretch from base 1 to 120 matches the Rfam family "5.8S ribosomal RNA", at positions 35 to 154 of the family's 154-position model. The record is from RNAcentral.